This is an RNA transcript of Papaver somniferum (opium poppy), 1096 nucleotides long. It is a transcript of the gene named high mobility group B protein 7-like, with no coding region annotated. The record is from RefSeq and is a predicted model, not a curated record. Lineage: Eukaryota; Viridiplantae; Streptophyta; Magnoliopsida; Ranunculales; Papaveraceae. The transcript has 8 exons.
GUCAUGGUCCUCCGGAUAAACAGAGAAAAGUUGUAGAAAGAGAGAGAGGAGAGGGAAGGUAAAAAGUUUCAGAGGAGUCCUUCUUUCUGGUCUUGAAUGAAGUUCUUCUUUCAAGGGUUUAAUGGCGAAUCUACUUAGAAAUCGAAAGAGGGUUUUCCCUCUAUGUCGUGCUCCUGAUGGAAGUGCCUUCCAAAAAUGUGAUUUAUGUGGGGUUUCAGUUGCAAUUGCCAUUUAUGAUAUGCAUGAAUGUAAGCUAAAACAAGGAACAAAAGGAGGAAAGAAGAGAAACAAAAAAUGUGAAUCAUUUACUAAGGAUGAAGAUCAAAGAAAGACUGUGAAAUGUGAAGAUGAUGGAACUAAUCAAACUAUUGAUGAUGGUGGAAAGGGUUUCUCUGACCAACCAAGAUCAGCUUUUUGCUUUUUCAUGGAAAGUUUACAAAAGGGUAAUUUUUUAGAUGUUGAUGGAAAAGGGUUUGAGAAAUGGAAGUGUAUGUCAGUUGAGGAAAGAAGCCCUUUUGUCCUUGAAGCUGAAAAGGUGAAUUCAGCUCAUGAGAAUAUCUUACUCAAAGAAGUCCAAGUUGAACCGCUGAUGGAUGAUGAGGCAGAUUCAGCAAUGGUCAAUCGAUACGAUAUGGACAUUGGCGAGGAUGAUGAUUUCUGGGGGCCUGGUGAGAUGUACCGUCUUCAUAGGGGAUACUCAUGUUCGUGGAUUAAUGAUUCAACUGUUGAUCUCGUGCUGAGUCAGUAAUUAGAAAGGGAAGGUCGUAAUCAUCUGUUUUUCUUGUAAAUCUUGAGAAAAUAUGCUGAUCACGCUGUUGAGGCCCUGCUUAUUUUCGCACAAAGAGUUGUGAACAAUCAGUAACAGUGGAAGAUUGCGAAAACAUGGCACCACAUCUAAUCCGUCAAUCUUGUGAGGUUCCUGGCAUUGUGCUCCAAGUUUUUGAUGGGGAUAGUUUGUAAUUGCUGAAUAUACUAUAGGAAAGCAAAUGAGCUAGCCUCAAAUUGUUGGGUCGUAAAUUUUUUAAUUUUUCUUACAUGUACCCAACUGGUGUUUUUAUAUAGUUUUAGGCUUGCGCCAUUAAUAAGAAAGGAAUUU